Long non-coding RNA from Sardina pilchardus (European sardine), 150 nucleotides. RefSeq lists it as uncharacterized. The record is from RefSeq and is a predicted model, not a curated record. Lineage: Eukaryota; Metazoa; Chordata; Actinopteri; Clupeiformes; Clupeidae. The transcript has 3 exons.
GGGAGAACCAGGGUUCCUCGGACCUCAAGGGGAACCAGGACUGCCGGGCCUUCCAGGAACCAAGGGCGAGAGAGGGGAGCUGGGGCCACCAGGAAAGGGCGAGCGAGGAGAGACCGGCCCUGCUGGACAGAAGGGGGCGCAAGGAGAGGC